Molecule: long non-coding RNA, 1397 nt
Filed under: Papio anubis (olive baboon)
Lineage: Eukaryota; Metazoa; Chordata; Mammalia; Primates; Cercopithecidae
Description: lncRNA (ENSPANG00000041656.1)
Source: RNAcentral
CUAUCUUGGGGUCUGGAUUGGGAUCCCUUUCCAGUAACAAUACUGCUGAUGUCAUAAACGCCCCUUCACCAAUACACUUACACACAUAUGUCUCUUCCAUGUCGUCAAAGGGUAUUAACUCCCUGGGCCUCUCUAAGGUAGCAGACGGAACCAAAGUCCAUGUUGGAUAAUCAUUUAAUCAUUUAUGAAGUAAUAGAGCAGAAAGCGCUUCAAGUUGACAACUGUAGUUUGGAAAUCAAGGAGGCUGUGAUGGGAACGGAAGUGGAGGUGGUAAAGGCUUCGGCAAUGGUGAUGGAAUUGAUAAGGACUGGUAGGUGGAGGCCUACCGAGGCCCCUUUUUUUUUUGCUUGGCGCUGUCUUCUCUGAAAUUUGAAGGUAGAGAAAGUGUUGAGAGAGAAAAAAGUGCAUCAGACGCAGAUAAGAAUUGGAGAGAUAAAGGAUGUGUGAAGAGCAACCACCUUCAGACCGAAGAACUGGAGCCCUGGGGUUAUGCAGAGACUUUCCUAAGGACACAGGACACAGAUGGUUCUGGAGAAUUAAGUUCCACAUCCUCCAUUUCCACGCAUUAAUUUGCCUCGGGAUGUGUCUGCAGCCAAAGGUUUACCCUCAGGAGAGCCAUCCCUCCUGUCCAUUCACUAGAGGAUCUGAAGCUGCCAUUAUCUUAACAUGAUGGGUUAGGAGGUAAAACCUGGCCCAUGCUGGGCCUCCCAGAGGUCUUCCCAGCAUUGCUGACCUGAGCAGGAAGGCAAAUAGGGGGGUGAGAGGGAGAGACCCUUCGCGCUCUGCACUUGAAUCUGUAAUAAUGAAAGACCAAAUCUGAGAGCGGAAAUGCUCCUAGCCUCAUGCAGGAUGAAGCCAACACAGAGAGAAAAUAGUUGGUGGGAGACCAGAAAAGCCCAUGUGGUGCUUGAGUAGCUACCUUUGCCACCACUGACUUACAGCAGCCAAAAAUUCACGGCCAACACUGUUUGAUUUAAUCAUCAGCAAUCAACAGAAUCUUUUAACACAGUUCCAGGGCCAUAGAAAGCACCCAAUAAAUGCUUUUCAAACCUGUUUUCUACUGUUGUGCUUCAGCAAGAAGGAGAAAAGUCAACUAUGCAUGAGAAAUGUGUUCAAAGCCACACUCCAUUGGGGCUCAGUGGGCCACGAAGUCAGCUCACUCCAUCAGCCUCCUGGAGAGCCGUUAAAAUAUAGCAGUGCCCAGAUCCCACCCCGGAUCCCUGAAUGAGAAUCUUUAGGGAUGGGGCCUAGUGCCUGUGUAUUGUUAAAAAUUUCAUGGGUGGAUCCUGACUAAGUAAACACAGGUGCUUAUCUCCACUCCUUCCUAAAACCACAUAAAAUGACAGCAAAAAGAAUUAAGGAGCUAAAAAUAUACAAAAGCAAAAAGAACAGAAGUA